GUAGAAUCUCAUUGUGUUUGAAUGAGCGAGCUCUACAGGACCCUGCACAGGCCCCGUCUUCCCUCUGGUCUGUCCACUGUGGGCGUGUCCCGAACACUGAAGUCCACGCCCUCAGAGACGUUUACUCGGAAUGAAGCCCAGGACGCUGGAGCUGUGUAUUUUACAAAGCUUUAUUCAGAUCAUUUUCCUCUGCAAUAUUUACAGCAUAAGUUACUGAGACAUCUUUCUGGCAUCCUGAAAGAGAAUCGGUCUUUAGCAUGCGCUCGUAUCCGGAAAAUCAGCACACCAAGGUUUUUGCAUAUUUUUAUUGCAUUAGUCACUGUGUGAGGACUCAAAGUUUAAAUAUGAAAAAACCCAGAAGAUGUGGCUUCAAAUGAGGAUUAGUGUUAAUGUGUAGUAAAAUGUGUGCAGCGUUUCAGGCAGCGUGGAAUCUCCGAGCAGUGAGUCAUGGACCAGUGGCGAGUCUCGGACGGAGGAGCGAGAGAGUCUCAGAUGGAGGAGCGCGUCUCGGAGCGGUGACGGGGUCUGACGCCCAGCUGAGUCUCGGAAAGAUGAGAGUCCCAGAUAAGCGAGGAGUCUCAGAGCAGUGAGUGAGUGAGCGAAUCAGGUCAGUGAAUCAGAGCAGUGAGUGAGUGAGCGAAUCAGGUCAGUGAGUGAGCGAAUCAGGUCAGUGAGUGAGCGAAUCAGGUCAGUGAGUGAGCGAGCGAAUCAGGUCAGUGAAUCAGAGCAGUGAGUGAGUGAGCGAAUCAGGUCAGUGAGUGAGCGAAUCAGGUCAGUGAGUGAGCGAAUCAGGUCAGUGAGUGAGCGAGCGAAUCAGGUCAGUGAAUCAGGUCAGUGAGUGAGCGAAUCAGGUCAGUGAAUCAGGUCAGUGAGUGAGCGAAUCAGGUCAGUGAGUGAGCGAAUCAGAGCAGUGAAUCAGGUCAGUGAAUCAGAGCAGUGAAUCAGAGCAGUGAAUCAGAGCAGUGAAUCAGAGCAGUGAAUCAGAGCAGUGAGUGAGUGAAUCAGGUCAGUGAAUCAGAGCAGUGAGUGAGUGAAUCAGGUCAGUGUAUCAGAGCAGUGAGUGAGAGCAUCUCGAGAAUGAGUCUCAGUACACAGACGUGUUUGAGUACUGAAUCAGUUCAGUGGUCGGAACUCGGUGUGGCGGUACACGAGUCUAUAAUGACCAAAAUAUCUUCAAAUGAAAGCCCUGUUCACACCGGGACGUCUUUCACAGCGCAUUAAACGGUCCGUUUAACGCUCCGAUGGCUGUCGGUGAGAGAGUUCACACGCGUAAAAAGCGUUGCGUCAGAGCGCCAGAUUGUUUUUAACAUCGACGUGUUUGUUUAUUGGGGUUUUGUUUUUAUGUGCCGACUUGGACUUGGAGUUCAAGUACAAAACUGUCUGAAUGAAGAAGCAGCAGCAGCAGCACCCAUCAUUUCUGUAAGAGUGCAUGUGACACAAAAUAAAAUGCUCAGUGCUAAUAAAUCCUUCCGCGUGCACACACGCACACACACACGCAGUCCUGUCACCAGAGUCACGAUUACACACUAAGUGUUAGCACAGUGCUGUUUAUUAAUUGCCUGUAACUUUAAUGAUCGAGUAGCAACACAAUGGAGCUAAAGCCUGGAGUCGAGUUUCUAGUCCAAACUGAUGUUUAUUCUCGACUCGUUGAUGUGGUGGUUAUUUUUGUGACGAGACUGAAAUGCAGGAAUAUAUUCUAAAUAUUCUAAAUAUUCUAAAUGAUCCGUUUAAUUCUUUCAGUUUUAUUUUCUACAUUAAUUAGCAUUGUUUCUUUGUCUGUUCCCUGCAAAUAAUAAUCUGCUGAUUGAUCCGUUGUGUUUAUUCUGCACCUGGCAUACAGGUGCAUUUAAAAAAAUGUGAAUAUUGUGGAAAUCUUUUUUUUUUUUCUUCUGUAAUUUAAUUUUAAAAAGGAACUUUCAUACAUUCUAGAUAUAUUUCUUCUUUUUGUUUUAUUACAGCUCACGGAAAUCAAAUCCAGCAUCUCCAAAAAAAUGUGAUUUAAAAAAUGUAAAUCCCAUAAAUUUGUGAAUGCUAUUGUAAAGUUGUGCAGCGCCACCUUGUGUACCGGGGGUAUUUCUGCUUUUCAAUAAGCGCCAUCUGCUGUCAGGGAGUGAAUUGACGCUUUCUUUCAGCGCGGCGCUCGUGUUUCACGCCCGCCUGUGAACACCAAACCCGGCACGGAGAAACGGACCGGUGUGAACACGCCCUAAAUGUCGUGACUCGUUUAAGCACUGGAAGUUAUCACGCCGCUUUACCCAUGAUGCAGAGCGAGAGAAUCGGACAGACCCUGAUGUAGCUGUAACGAGGACGAGGUUCUACGCCCUGCGAGGGUUCAUGAUCGGAGAGGAAGGCUCGGUUCUGACCCGGGCCGGUCCACUCGUCCUGACUCGCUGCUCUACAGAGAUCCUGCACUCUGAAUAAACACGCCGGAAAUCAACAGAAAUAACAACACAGGAGAUAUAAAUAAAAACAUUCUCUAAACCCAUUCGAAUGUUCAGUUAUUAGCGGCGAACGACUGAACAAUUAGAACUGUAAAGGAACCGUUUGGAUAAAGAUGAAACCCAGCAGCGUUUGAGGUCGUGUUUCCUCCCAAACCACCCCGAGUGGCCAUGUGCCGAUAUCUCACUUCGCUCCACUUCACUGCGUUCUGCAGAAGAUAUAAAGCUGUUCCUCUGCUAGAUUUACAGUAAGUGUUCAAAUAUAUGAAAUACAAUAAAUAAUACAGUAUAUAAUUACAUAAACAGAUACAUCUGACAUAUUUACUAGAAUUAAACAACCUAAUUAAAUGAAUAUGAAUUAAUAUUAAUAAUAAUUUCUGAAUUAAUACAAUAAGAAACGAUGCUUUAGUAAUCGGACGUUUUCUCCCCCAAACAUUUGACACAUUUAUUGUAUUUCAUAUGUGAUUUAAAACGAACAAAAAUACAAACAUCCACUUUAUUUAGGCUUUCUUAAUAAUUUUAUACAUAAAUAAUUUUUAAUUUUAUACAUUAACCCCGCCCCCUAAAAGGUUAGAUAGAGAAUUAAACAUGACUUUGUUCUUUACUGGUUUCAUGUUCCUUCGAUUUUCUGUGUUCAUUUAUUUAAGGACUCAGAGCAGGAUUCUGUCUAUGAAAGGAAGAGACAGUGUGAAUAUAAUAAUGAUGAUAACAGUAAUAAGCGGUGGGUAAAGCGUCAUGCUGGGACAGUUUGGGGUUUGAAUAUCAGCACAUGGCCACGCUGAUCAUCUCCCGCAUCACCUCUAACAAUUCAUCUUCAUCACCUCCUUCCUGAAUGAAGGAGGAACGUGCAGGACACGAGGGCACCCCCGUGUGUGUGUGUGUGUGCGUGUGUGUGUGCGUGUAUGUGCGUGUGCGUGUGUGUUUCUGUCUCUCGGCUGAAGCGUAUGGUUCUGCUGGAAGACGUGUGCAGCUGUUCUGAUGGUUUGUGUCAGCGUGUAGAUCAUCAGCCUGAGAAGAACGAGAGGAGAACAGUGAUGUAGAAACGCCGCCGAGCUCCGGGAGAAGAAUUCAUCACCGUCAUCAUCACCAUCAUAAUCGUCAUCAUUAU
This is a long non-coding RNA of Ictalurus punctatus (channel catfish), 3546 nucleotides long. NCBI's taxonomy places the organism in Eukaryota, Metazoa, Chordata, Actinopteri, Siluriformes, Ictaluridae. The record is from Ensembl.